AUACGGGAGGCAGCAGUGGGGAAUAUUGCACAAUGGGCGGAAGCCUGAUGCAGCGACGCCGCGUGAGGGAUGACGGCCUUCGGGUUGUAAACCUCUUUCAGCCUUGACGAAGCGCAAGUGACGGUAGGGGCAGAAGAAGCGCCGGCCAACUACGUGCCAGCAGCCGCGGUAAGACGUAGGGCGCGAGCGUUGUCCGGAUUUAUUGGGCGUAAAGAGCUCGUAGGCGGCUCGUCGCGUCGGCUGUGAAAACCCGCAGCUUAACUGUGGGCUUGCAGCCGAUACGGGCGGGCUAGAGUUCGGUAGGGGAGACUGGAAUUCCUGGUGUAGCGGUGAAAUGCGCAGAUAUCAGGAGGAACACCGGUGGCGAAGGCGGGUCUCUGGGCCGAUACUGACGCUGAGGAGCGAAAGCGUGGGGAGCGAACAGGAUUAGAUACCCCGGUAGU
RNAcentral lists this ribosomal RNA (443 nucleotides) under uncultured bacterium. RNAcentral's name for it is "bacterial SSU rRNA". It matches the Rfam family "Bacterial small subunit ribosomal RNA", at positions 339 to 794 of the family's 1533-position model. The record is from RNAcentral.